RNAcentral lists this ribosomal RNA (252 nucleotides) under uncultured bacterium. Its description in RNAcentral is "partial 16S ribosomal RNA". It matches the Rfam family "Bacterial small subunit ribosomal RNA", at positions 524 to 776 of the family's 1533-position model. The record is from RNAcentral.
UACGGAGGAUGCGAGCGUUAUCCGGAUUUAUUGGGUUUAAAGGGUGCGUAGGCGGUCCGGGAAGUCAGCGGUAAAAGCCCGGGGCUCAACCCCGGCGAGCCGUUGAAACUGUCGGACUAGAGACGGCGAGAAGUACGCGGAAUGCGCGGUGUAGCGGUGAAAUGCAUAGAUAUCGCGCAGAACUCCGAUUGCGAAGGCAGCGUACCGGCGCCGGACUGACGCUGAGGCACGAAAGCGUGGGUAUCGAACAGG